AUACUCGCCGCCAUGGCUGCCCAUGGCUCCCGCCACGCUCAGAGUGCUAUUGUUGCUGGAGAGGCCGAGGUUGAGAGCCCCCGGGGGCGCGCGCCAGCUGAUCUGGGCUGGAGGCCAAGCCUCUGCGCGGCAGGUCAGAGUGAAGUUACCGCCCGGCCGCACGCUUGGGGGCGAGGCUGCCAGCUCAGCCACCACAGGCCGGUCUGCAGGGAGAUGAAGACGCUGCUUAGCACUGGGCGAUAAUCAAACACCCUAGGAGGCCUGAGACCACCCUUCUUGGGAUGGACGGGCAAAACUGCUGCCUCCCAAGACACCACCCACCCGCCACGGAAACAAAAGUGCUUUUGUCUUACUGAGAUGGUUGGGGCUGGGGAUUCAGAGAAGUCUCCCAUGGCUGGGGUGGGCCAGAGAGACAGGGAGCCAGAGAGGGGUUAUGUAAUCUUGGGGGGCCUGUAGCCCCUUUGUAGACCAAGUUGUCCUGGACAGAGAGCAGGUCUGCCUGUCUCUGCCUCCCAAGUGUUAAAAUUAUGAGUGUUGGGAAUAGCAUAUACAGCUUUGUGGGUGCUAAUUGAGCACGCUAUCCACUGGACUACAUCCCAGCCCUCACGGCACUUUUCUAGCGGGCUCAGUCCUCUUCAUUCUGCGCUGUCCUCACUCACAUUCCACACCCACAGUGACCGUCCGUGAAUCCGUGCCAUGCGCAUUGGUGGCCACACAGCGGUAGGUCCCCGCAUCCUCUCGGGACACCUGUAGCCUCUCCAGCCUGGCGGCACCCUCCCUGGAGCAAUGCACCCGUGGAGAGGGGCGGCCCCUGGCACUGCAGGCCAGCGCGGUAGCCUCAGCUCCUUCCAGCCAGGUCUGGUGACUCGGGCAACUGGAUUCAUCCAUCUGUGGCGGCGCUGCAGAUCAGCCACCAUAAGGAGGGACGUCAGGGAAGGCAAGGAUCCUGGGACACCCGGUACUUUCCGCCCACCUGGGCCCCUGCUCACACUCCGCGCUCACGACGACUGUUUUGACUGUGGAGCCGUGCCGGUUGGUGGCGUUGCAGAGCUUCUACCUGCUCCUGCCCUGGAACUCUCCUGCCCUGCUUUUUCUGGUGUAGACGCCCCGCCCACUUUAUUGGCUCCGCCUCUGUGAGACUCUGGUUCCAGCCCCAGCCAAUGAAGGCCCCCUGGAUUCCCCUUACUGUAAACAGUCAGGUUUUCCUGGGUCUCCCUGCUUUCGCCCCCGAGGGUCACGACGCACAUCAGCUGUUUGGUGCCUUCCUGUUCUGCGCUUGCUGUAGCUGUGGCAGUGGCCACAAGGCUGUCCCCAUCGAGGGUCACAUUAGGAUUGAGCCUCUGAUCUCCCAGAGAGAGGUAAACCCCGGCUUCUGGGGCAGGAAACAGUCCAUCCAACGUGCAAGUCACCGGCCUUUCUGAGUCCACUUCUAAGACUCGGGGAGCAAUAAGACUCGGGGAAUGUGGAGGCAUGGCUGGGGCGGACAAAGAACAGGAUUUGAGUUUAUGAACUAAGCAUUCAGUGUUGACAAGCCAAUUUGCAUGCAUUGUUUGGUUUCAUCCUAAAAAUACAGAAGGGCGGGCGAGAUGGCACCACAAGUUUAGGUGCUUGUUGUUAAGCCUGACUUGACUCGAUCCCCAGGACCUACAUGAUGGAAAGAGAGAACUAAACUCCUACUUAUCCUUUAACUUCCACACAUGCACUGUGGCAUGUGCAUAAACGCAUAUACACACACUCUCUUUUUCUCUCAAUAAAUAAAUGCAUAAAGAAAAA
RNAcentral lists this long non-coding RNA (1773 nucleotides) under Mus musculus (house mouse). RNAcentral's name for it is "predicted gene, 26592 (Gm26592)". Lineage: Eukaryota; Metazoa; Chordata; Mammalia; Rodentia; Muridae. The record is from RNAcentral.